Molecule: non-coding RNA, 119 nt
Organism: Pteropus alecto (black flying fox)
Lineage: Eukaryota; Metazoa; Chordata; Mammalia; Chiroptera; Pteropodidae
Source: Rfam
GUCUACGGCCAUGCCACCCUGAACACGUCCGAUCCUGUCUGAUCUCGGAAGCUAAGCAGAGUCGGGCCUGGUUAGUACUUGGAUGGGAGAUCACCUAGGAAGACCAGGUGCUGUAGGCG